UGGGGAAUAUUGCACAAUGGGCGCAAGCCUGAUGCAGCAACGCCGCGUGAGGGACGACGGCCUUCGGGUUGUAAACCUCUUUUAGUAGGGAAGAAGCGAAAGUGACGGUACCUGCAGAAAAAGCACCGGCUAACUACGUGCCAGCAGCCGCGGUAAUACGUAGGGUGCGAGCGUUGUCCGGAAUUAUUGGGCGUAAAGAGCUCGUAGGCGGUCUGUCGCGUCUGCUGUGAAAACCCGAGGCUCAACCUCGGGCCUGCAGUGGGUACGGGCAGACUAGAGUGCGGUAGGGGAGAAUGGAAUUCCUGGUGUAGCGGUGGAAUGCGCAGAUAUCAGGAGGAACACCGAUGGCGAAGGCAGUUCUCUGGGCCGUAACUGACGCUGAGGAGCGAAAGCGUGGGGAGCGAACAGGAUUAGAUACCCUGGUAGUCCACGCCGUAAACGUU
This 443-nucleotide ribosomal RNA is filed under the name uncultured bacterium. Its description in RNAcentral is "partial 16S ribosomal RNA". It matches the Rfam family "Bacterial small subunit ribosomal RNA", at positions 355 to 810 of the family's 1533-position model. The record is from RNAcentral.